GAUGAAGAACGUAGCGAAAUGCGAUAAGUAGUGUGAAUUGCAGAAUUCAGUGAAUCAUCGAAUCUUUGAACGCACAUUGCGCCCCUUGGUAUCCCGAGGGGCAUGCCUGUUCGAGCGUCAUUUCACCACUCACGCCUGGCUUGGUGUUGGGCGACGUCCUCUUUGGGGACGCGCCUCGAAACGCUCGGCGGCGUGGCACCGGCUUUAAGCGUAGCAGAAUCUUUCGCUUUGGAAGUCGGGGCCCCGUCUGCCGGAAGACCUGCUCGCAAGGUUGACCUCGGAUCAGGCAGGGAUACCCGCUGAACUUAAGCAUAUCAAUAAGCGGAGGA
Molecule: unclassified non-coding RNA, 329 nt
Filed under: soil metagenome
Description: partial contains 5.8S ribosomal RNA, internal transcribed spacer 2, and large subunit ribosomal RNA
Rfam family: 5.8S ribosomal RNA (bases 1-120)
Source: RNAcentral